CAAUUCUCUCUAUUUAUCUGUAUAAAGUAUAAACAAUGUAACCAGCUCCUGAAUUCAUUUACUAAUUGAUUUAAUUUCAGGUGACGUAAGUUAAAUAAUCAACAGGUCCAUCUCUCUUCCAAUAACAUUGGCGAAAGAAGAACUUCACACGUGUUAAUGAAUAAACGAACAAGUGAGCGAGCUAGCUAAUUCAUUGACAGAUGUUCUGAUAAUGCCAGUAACCAACAAAAGAAAAGCAACAUCAGGGGAGAGAUGCUGCGGGGUUACUAUGGGGUUACUAUGUACGCUGGAGAGCUGUAGACUACUGUGUCAAGCAGUUUCUGUGGCUGACAGAAAGCUGCCCCAGGAGACAGGUGUUGUAGAGCUGUAGAGUUGAGAUCCUGGAACCAGUUGAUGAAUUUGAGGACUGAGAUUGAGGCAGUGGCUGACUUACAAAGUGGAUCAUCUUGCAGGAGCCGAGGCGGUCGUUGAGGCCCAUCCAGCGCAGGUAUUCAGGGUACCUCCCCCCCCGGUAGCCCAUGUAGUUGGGCCUCCCGUAGA
Molecule: long non-coding RNA, 540 nt
Organism: Oncorhynchus masou masou (cherry salmon)
Lineage: Eukaryota; Metazoa; Chordata; Actinopteri; Salmoniformes; Salmonidae
Exons: 4
Source: RefSeq, a predicted model, not a curated record